CGUUCAACCUCACCCUUCCUUGUUUAUCCCGCCUAUAUACCGCCGUCGUCAGCUUACCCUGUGAAGGCCUAAAAGUAAGCACAACUGGCACAACCCAAAACGUCAGGUCGAGGUGUAGCGCAUGGAGGGGGAAGAAAUGGGCUACAUUCCCUAUACUAGGGAACACGAACGGCGCACUGAAACACGCGCCUGAAGGAGGAUUUAGUAGUAAGCGGAAAAUAGCGUGUUCCGCUGAAAUCGGCCCUGAAGCGCGCACACACCGCCCGUCACUCUCCCCAAGCCUAUCACUUUAAUUAAUUAAAAACCCAAAAAUCGCGAAGGGGAGGCAAGUCGUAACAUGGUAAGGGUACCGGAAGGUGCACUUGGUAAUAU
Molecule: ribosomal RNA, 372 nt
Filed under: Sebastes macdonaldi (Mexican rockfish)
Lineage: Eukaryota; Metazoa; Chordata; Actinopteri; Perciformes; Sebastidae
Description: partial 12S ribosomal RNA
Rfam family: Bacterial small subunit ribosomal RNA
Source: RNAcentral